GAUCAAGAGUUUCCUGUCUAGGUUGUGGCUCGGUGUCUUCUUGACUUCGAGAAGCCUGACUUCCACUGACCAUGUAAGUAUAUCCGGGAAUAGCAUGUAAAUGUGCUACAUGCGUCAUGCCAUUUGAAACAACGCCAUCGCUCCUCUGGAAAGUCUUGUGAUAUGAAAUGUUGAACUGCUUGGUGCCAUCAGAUGAAUGAGGAACAUCAGCACUAGAAGAGCUCUGACUCCUUUCAGAUGUCAUGCCAUUUGAUACAACGCCAUCGCUCCUCUGGGAAGUCUUGUGAUAUGAAAUGUUGAACUGCUUGACGCCAUUGGAUGAAUGAGGAACAUCAGCACUAGAAGAGCUCUGACUCCUUUCAGAAAAAGCAGAA
Molecule: long non-coding RNA, 374 nt
Filed under: Nicotiana benthamiana
Lineage: Eukaryota; Viridiplantae; Streptophyta; Magnoliopsida; Solanales; Solanaceae
Description: long non-coding RNA (NBEN_LNC033606)
Source: RNAcentral